Molecule: long non-coding RNA, 262 nt
Organism: Haliotis rubra (blacklip abalone)
Lineage: Eukaryota; Metazoa; Mollusca; Gastropoda; Lepetellida; Haliotidae
Exons: 3
Source: RefSeq, a predicted model, not a curated record
AAAUCAGGAUCAAAUAGAAAAUCUGACAGCCAUAAAGGCCCACACGUAGCGCACGAGAAGAAUACCUGCAUGAAGACAAGAUGUGGUUGCUGGUCCCGACUUAGGGCAUAUUAUUCAACCCCAGUGAUCAAGUACACAUCGUACCUCCUGGUCUACUGUAUUUUCCUUGGCCUGUAUGCCCAUUUCAUGCUGAUUGUCCUCACGUUUGAAUUCAAAUGGAACUGGGAGGUCCCGCUGCUCGUGUGGAUGCUAGCUUUUUUUG